This is a long non-coding RNA of Dendroctonus ponderosae (mountain pine beetle), 937 nucleotides long. RefSeq lists it as uncharacterized. The transcript has 2 exons. The record is from RefSeq and is a predicted model, not a curated record. Lineage: Eukaryota; Metazoa; Arthropoda; Insecta; Coleoptera; Curculionidae.
ACUGAAUCUAGUUCUUCGCUCGUUUAUGAUGCACCCGCUUUAGAAAAUAAUCUCUCGAAUGGUACGGAAGUAGCUACAAUGUUGACUUUCAAUUUGACUAAUUUUGAAAUUGUGGAAUACAGAUGUUGAUUUUGCCUCCAUCAUAAUAGCUGAUCUUCAAUUCUGGGAAGCUGGAAGAAUAUAUGGAUAACUAUGUUAAAUUCAAGUUAAUGAGAGGUCUGAAAAAAUGAAGGCUAUUGCACGUGUACUUGCAUCCAUCCUACUGCAGAAACUCCAUAAGAAUACCUUCCCGAUCUGUAAAUAACGUUUUUUUACUUAUUACAUAUUUUUGUACUUAACAUUGUUAUUCUGAGUAACUAAGGAUAUAUUUAAUCACUAACGCUCUAUUUUGCAUCAAUGCCAAAUCACUUUUAAUGAUGUAAUUUAGUUUUUACUAGCAUGAAAACAAUACUUUCUUAUUUUUUGUUGAAUCAAGUGAUUCAUAUUUUGAUCAAUAGGUCCUAGUUGAAUUUUGAAAAUUAGAGACAGUAAAACCCCAAUCUAACUUAUAUAAGUAAAACUAUUGGCUAUUUUGUCUAUAAAUCUACCUGUUAGCUUUAACACCGCUAACUUCAGCAAGAGUAAAACUUUCGGUGUUUUUAAUGUAAAAUGACACCAUAAACAUAUCCACGAGUGGUAAAAUGUCAGAUUGUUCUUUUACAAAACCUGCGUCAGUCAAAUAUUUUCGUUUUCUCCUAAUAUAAACGUUUUGACAACAAUAUCAAGACUGAGGUUGCAUAUAUACAUGCUCCGCAUUGAAGCUACCGCGACCGACGAGCCGCUUGACGUCACAACUGGUCCCAGCCGAUGACGGAGCGUUUCAAGAAUGAUUUCAAUUAUACAGUUUUUAAUUGCUUAUAUUAAUUACAUAUAAAUAAAAAAAUAGUUUUUUGGUCAA